RNAcentral lists this ribosomal RNA (389 nucleotides) under uncultured bacterium. RNAcentral describes it as "bacterial SSU rRNA". It matches the Rfam family "Bacterial small subunit ribosomal RNA", at positions 28 to 418 of the family's 1533-position model. The record is from RNAcentral.
GACGAACGCUGGCGGCGUGCUUAACACAUGCAAGUCGAGCGGUAAGGCCCUUUCGGGGGUACACGAGCGGCGAACGGGUGAGUAACACGUGGGUGGCCUGCCCUUAGCUCUGGGAUAAGCCUGGGAAACUGGGUCUAAUACCGGAUAUGACCUCAUGACUCAUGUUGUGGGGUGGAAAGCCUUGUGCGGCUAGGGAUGGGCCCGCGGUCUAUCAGCUUGUUGGUGGGGUAAUUGCCUACCAAGGCGACGGCGGGUAGCCGGCCUGAGAGGAUGGCCAGCCACACUGGGACUGAGACACGGCCCAGACUCCUACGGGAGGCAGCAGUGGGGAGUAUUGGACAAUGGGGGCAACCCUGAUCCAGCAAUGCCGCGUGGGUGAUGAAGGCCUU